Molecule: ribosomal RNA, 465 nt
Filed under: Vreelandella stevensii
Lineage: Bacteria; Pseudomonadati; Pseudomonadota; Gammaproteobacteria; Oceanospirillales; Halomonadaceae
Description: partial 16S ribosomal RNA
Rfam family: Bacterial small subunit ribosomal RNA
Source: RNAcentral
CCUACGGGUGGCUGCAGUGGGGAAUAUUGGACAAUGGGGGCAACCCUGAUCCAGCCAUGCCGCGUGUGUGAAGAAGGCCAUCGGGUUGUAAAGCACUUUCAGUGAGGAAGAACGCCUGGUGGUUAAUACCCAUCAGGAAAGACAUCACUCACAGAAGAAGCACCGGCUAACUCCGUGCCAGCAGCCGCGGUAAUACGGAGGGUGCGAGCGUUAAUCGGAAUUACUGGGCGUAAAGCGCGCGUAGGUGGCUUGAUAAGCCGGUUGUGAAAGCCCCGGGCUCAACCUGGGAACGGCAUCCGGAACUGUCAAGCUAGAGUGCAGGAGAGGAAGGUAGAAUUCCCGGUGUAGCGGUGAAAUGCGUAGAGAUAGGGAGGAAUACCAGUGGCGAAGGCGGCCUUCUGGACUGACACUGACGCUGAGGUGCGAAAGCGUGGGUAGCAAACAGGAUUAGAUACCCUGGUAGUC